This 459-nucleotide ribosomal RNA is filed under the name uncultured bacterium. RNAcentral describes it as "bacterial SSU rRNA". It matches the Rfam family "Bacterial small subunit ribosomal RNA", at positions 8 to 463 of the family's 1533-position model. The record is from RNAcentral.
AGAGUUUGAUCCUGGCUCAGAUUGAACGCUGGCGGCAGGCCUAACACAUGCAAGUCGAACGGUAACAGGAAACAGCUUGCUGUUUCGCUGACGAGUGGCGGACGGGUGAGUAAUGUCUGGGAAACUGCCUGAUGGAGGGGGAUAACUACUGGAAACGGUAGCUAAUACCGCAUAACGUCGCAAGACCAAAGAGGGGGACCUUCGGGCCUCUUGCCAUCGGAUGUGCCCAGAUGGGAUUAGCUAGUAGGUGGGGUAACGGCUCACCUAGGCGACGAUCCCUAGCUGGUCUGAGAGGAUGACCAGCCACACUGGAACUGAGACACGGUCCAGACUCCUACGGGAGGCAGCAGUGGGGAAUAUUGCACAAUGGGCGCAAGCCUGAUGCAGCCAUGCCGCGUGUAUGAAGAAGGCCUUCGGGUUGUAAAGUACUUUCAGCGGGGAGGAAGGGAGUAAAGUUAA